RNAcentral lists this ribosomal RNA (402 nucleotides) under uncultured prokaryote. Its description in RNAcentral is "bacterial SSU rRNA". It matches the Rfam family "Bacterial small subunit ribosomal RNA", at positions 355 to 774 of the family's 1533-position model. The record is from RNAcentral.
UGGGGAAUAUUGCACAAUGGGGGAAACCCUGAUGCAGCAACGCCGCGUGAGUGAUGACGGCCUUCGGGUUGUAAAGCUCUGUCUUCAGGGACGAUAAUGACGGUACCUGAGGAGGAAGCCACGGCUAACUACGUGCCAGCAGCCGCGGUAAUACGUAGGUGGCGAGCGUUGUACGGAUUUACUGGGCGUAAAGGGAGCGUAGGCGUACUUUUAAGUGAGAUGUGAAAUACCCGGGCUCAACUGGGGUGCUGCAUUUCAAACUGGAAGGCUAGAGUGCAGGAGAGGAGAAUGGAAUUCCUAGUGUAGCGGUGAAAUUCGUAGAGAUUAGGAAGAACACCAGUGGCGAAGGCGAUUCUCUGGACUGUAACUGACGCUGAGGCUCGAAAGCGUGGGGAGCAAACA